RNAcentral lists this ribosomal RNA (482 nucleotides) under uncultured bacterium. RNAcentral describes it as "bacterial SSU rRNA". It matches the Rfam family "Bacterial small subunit ribosomal RNA", at positions 30 to 507 of the family's 1533-position model. The record is from RNAcentral.
AUUGAACGCUGGCGGCAUGCCUUACACAUGCAAGUCGAACGGUAACAGGUCUUCGGAUGCUGGCGAGUGGCGAACGGGUGAGUAAUACAUCGGAACGUGCCCGAUCGUGGGGGAUAACGGAGCGAAAGCUUUGCUAAUACCGCAUACGAUCUACGGAUGAAAGCAGGGGACCGCAAGGCCUUGCGCGGACGGAGCGGCCGAUGGCAGAUUAGGUAGUUGGUGGGAUAAAAGCUUACCAAGCCGACGAUCUGUAGCUGGUCUGAGAGGACGACCAGCCACACUGGGACUGAGACACGGCCCAGACUCCUACGGGAGGCAGCAGUGGGGAAUUUUGGACAAUGGGCGCAAGCCUGAUCCAGCCAUGCCGCGUGCAGGAUGAAGGCCUUCGGGUUGUAAACUGCUUUUGUACGGAACGAAAAGACUCUUUCUAAUAAAGAGGGUCCAUGACGGUACCGUAAGAAUAAGCACCGGCUAACUACGUG